CUAGUUUGCCAAAAAACAGAAGUCAGCUUUUUCCCCAGGGAGAGUUGACAGACACAGAAUUUCAACACAGAGAUACGAUAGAGCUGAAGACAAACACACACGUACACUGAAGCCACCGCUCUGCACUGAAGUCACGGCAAGGAGGUGGGGAACAAAGUGCACUGCAGUUUCAAGAGGAAAAAUAGCUGAGUACUGCAGAAUACUGCAUGCUUCUGCUGGCCCCACGGGAUGCAGAGGAAUCAUGCUGAUCCAUCACAGUGAUGCCACUGUCCACCACUAUCUCCCACAUCUGUGCUUUUAAAGGUUAAAAAAAUAUAUCAUGGUUUUGAGAAAGUAUACUUUUCCCCUCAUCUUAGAGUAGUUGGAAGUUUAUAGAAUCUCUAUACUUGCAGAGGUAAAGGCAGAGAUGAAUCGUUGUUGGACUCCAAAAUUUCUUUAGAGACUUGUCAACUCUGACUGCAAAGGACAAUCUGUAUUCUCCAAAACCUUGAGGAUCUCAACUAGAGGAAGAGGUAACACAGGAUGGGAAGUUCCAUCUUCUCCAAAAAUUCUGCCAGAGCAGGCUUCAGAAAGCAAACAUUUUUAGACAAGGAUAUGGGAACUGCGGGGACACAGCCACCUACCAAGGGCAGAGCUAAGAAUGAUGUCAUGGCCCUGUCCCCUCAGCAGGGCCCACCACCCAGGCAAGUGGUGCACAGCGGAGAUGUGCACUGGGAAGGCAGCCAGAGCCCAGUUGAACCCUGGCUUUGUCCUCAAGAGAGGCUCAGCUAUAAGGAGAGUACAAAGAACAGUGCUUGAGAUGAUGAAGGUCACUCCAAGGGCUAAACUACAUAAGAAAAAAAACAAAGCACCAACAUCAGCAUCUCUGCCAGUGCCAGAACCUGGCAACACACCUCUUGUUCUCUUGAAGAGCUCAUUCUUUUGCAAGCCUCAUGUGGAAGCUGCCAUGGAUGGGAUCAAAAUUGGGCACAAAUCCUGCACUGAAGUAUUGCAUCCCACGUCAAUGAUUGGAAUGACUUUUUUUUAAACAUCUGAAUACAGAGCCUUACAGGGGACUCUACAGAGUUCUGAAGGCAAAUAUCUUCCAUUUCCUUUUGAGAGUUCAUUAACAAUAUUUACCAUGAAUUGUCUUGCUCAAUAAAGCAAUUAGCAAUAAG
Long non-coding RNA from Gallus gallus (chicken), 1157 nucleotides. NCBI's taxonomy places the organism in Eukaryota, Metazoa, Chordata, Aves, Galliformes, Phasianidae. The record is from Ensembl.